CCCGAAGGAGGUCACUUGCAGUUUCACAAAUGGCUGAGGGGUGUGGGACUGUGUGUGUAUGUUUGUAUGUAUACACAUGGAGAAAGAAACAUCCAAGCAAACCAGAGGGAGAGAAAGAGAGGUGGAGGCUGCAGAAGUGGCAUUCUGUCCUGUGUAUUUGGAACAUAGUGACUGAAGAGAACAAAGUUAUCCAGUUCUGGCUGACACUAAAGGGAAAAUCUCUUCUCAGAAGGCGUAGCAGAGAUCUCAGGAGGAAGCCUGUUGUCCUUAUUCUUCCAACUAAGCUCUGUAGUUGGAGGAACUCUGGAUGACUUCAGAAAGUACAGUAACUUUCAGGUGCUUAUCUGGUUUUCUUACAAACUGUAAAUUCUCUGCAUUUGCCCACUUACUCCAAUUCUCCCCCCAAAAUACCUGCAUUUAUCCUGACCAGCAUGCUAUCUUCAUUCAACGCAUUUGUUAUAUAUCCUGAGUUUAAGAAGUAGAAUUCAAUAUUGUGUCAUUAUUAGCAAUAUUUGGUUCUGCCAUGAUUAAUUUUGCCUUUGAAAAACCUUUAGAAAUAUAUUUUGUUUGGACUCUAAAUGUACUUAUUUUGCUGCUAAUGUAGCAGGUGUUAUUCUUAACCAUUUUUUUGAGAAAUCUUAAAUUUAGAGGAAAUGAGCACUCGAUUAUUUAAAUUUCCUGAGAUUAGAGGAAGAACACUUUGCCAAACAAUGCCUCUUCACUUCAAAACCUCUCCCCAUAAAUUACGUUAGGAGAUCUUAUUAAAAGUCUGUAAAAAUUUCCUAUUAAAAAUGGUUGAUUGCAGUCCAGACCAUCACAGCUUUUGUGCUUUCAGUGAAAUACCACAGCUGUCGCAAAGAAAUAUAUUGUGAGACAAAAGGUUUUGUUUCCUUAGUCAUAAAUUAUUUUGGUGAUGCCUGAAGUAAGAUAAAACUUUCACUUAUGUUUGAGUGAAGGAAGAUUUCCAGUGAUAACUUGUUCAAAAAUCUAUAAAAAGAAUAUAAGAAUGUAGAUCUAGAUAGCAAAUUAGAAUCAGACUUCCUUUUGUUUAAGGAAAGCAAUUAUUUCUGAAGUCAGUGAAGAUUAUAACCAGGGAUAAUAGCAUAACUUUGCAAAGCACAGUGCCUUUAUCUCAGUACAACCUGAAGUUUAAGCUUUCAAGUCUGACCUUUGAGAACUAUUUAAUAGAAUCCUUCAGUGUUGGCUAGUUUUUAAACUAAAGUAAAACAAUUGUAAGUAGUCUGUUUACUAAUUAUACUCACAAAAAAAUAAACCUUUUUUUAGAUUUUAAAAAAUAAUUAAACCAAUUUGGCUUUGACCAUAUUUUCUAUUGGCAAAUGUGUUUUCUGCUAAGGCAUUCUUCAGAAACAGCAGCCUUUUAGAGGAAGAAGGGCUCUAUGUACACCAAAUAGACUGUGAAGUAUUUGCUGUCAGUACUGAUUCUGUGUUCACCUUAUCAAGGAGUAGAAGUGUAUUCCACAUAUGACCUGUGUAUAUAAUGAAAAUAUAAAAUUACAGAGUAUAUACUAAAGAUUAUUUUCAAAAUCAGUUGCCAAAUGAUUUUGAAUAAAAGGUAAAUUAGGUUUUUUGCCAUUUGCUCAUACAUUACUGCUGUCUACAUAAUGGUCACAUUUUCCAGCCUCCUUCCCUGCUAAUUACAGAGAUUACUGAAUAAAGAAAGAUAGUACAGGACAGUACUCAGAAUUUGAGAGAUAUUUGGGGUUGUGUCUGCAAAAAUACAUAUGCUUUUUCUGACUAUCAAUAGUAUUUAUAACUAAGCCAGUUCUUUUUACCCAGCGCCAUCACAAGAUUUUACUGUAAUUUCUUUAUGUAUAUAUUUAAAUCAGGAGUGUACAAAACAAAAAUGCAAGAUGGUCUUCCUUUCUGCUAUUUAAUCCAGAGAAAUAGAGUAUGCCAUCUUGAGCCUUUAAUAAGACCCAUUACUGUAGCCCACUUUUUUUUUCCUUCUGAGUGAUUUUUCUUAUAAAUCAA
Long non-coding RNA from Pezoporus flaviventris, 1992 nucleotides. RefSeq lists it as uncharacterized. The transcript has 3 exons. Lineage: Eukaryota; Metazoa; Chordata; Aves; Psittaciformes; Psittacidae. The record is from RefSeq and is a predicted model, not a curated record.